GACGAACGUUGGCGGCGUGCUUAAUACAUGCAAGUCAACUGAAGCAGUGGUAGCAAUCUCGCUGUGGAGGUGGCGCACGGGUGAGUAACACGUAGGUAAUCUGCCUUCAGGUCUGGCAUAACUCCGGGAAACCGGGGCUAAUAGCAGAUGAUGCAGCGGCUCGACAUCGAGACAGUUGUUAAAGCUAUGGCGCCUGAAGAUGAGCCUGCGUCUGAUUAGCUAGUUGGCGGGGUAACGGCCCACCAAGGCAACGAUCAGUAGCUGGUCUGAGAGGAUGAUCAGCCACACUGGGACUGAGACACGGUCCAGACUCCUACGGGAGGCAGCAGUAAGGAAUAUUGCUCAAUGGGAGAAAUCCUGAAGCAGCAACGCCGCGUGAGGGACGAAGGGCUUUUGCUUGUAAACCUCUGUAGUAAGAGAAAAAAAUCCCAAUCUUUGGGACAUGAUGGUAUCUCAAAAGUAAGCCCCGGCUAACUACGUG
This 481-nucleotide ribosomal RNA is filed under the name uncultured bacterium. RNAcentral's name for it is "partial 16S ribosomal RNA". It matches the Rfam family "Bacterial small subunit ribosomal RNA", at positions 28 to 507 of the family's 1533-position model. The record is from RNAcentral.